UUAUUGAGGCCAGGGCUUCUGGGAAGUCUCCCCAGCCUCAGCUGCUGAGUAACAAGGAGAAAGCCGAGGCCAGGAAGCUCUGGGAGUACAAGAACUCCGUCAUCUCUCAGGCUGGAGUGCAAUGGCGCAAUCUCAGCUCACUGCAGGCUCCACCUCCCAGGUUCAAGAGAUUCUCCUGCCUCAGCCUCCCAAGUAGCUGGGAUUACAGGUGACCACCCAUUUCACAGAGGACUUCUCACUGAAUUCUGCAAUUUCUCAGCUGAUGGGACUCAGCAAUGCCCUCUCGCAAGCCUCUCAGAGUGUCAUUCUCCACAGCCCUGAGUUUGAGGAUGCUUUGUGUGCCCUGAUGGUGAUGGCUGCUCCAAUGGCCCCUCAUGUAACCUCAGAGAUCUGGGCAGGCCUGGCGCUGGUGCCGAGGAAGCUCUGUGCCCACUACACUUGGGACGCCAGUGUGCUGCUCCAGGCAUGGCCUGCCGUGGACCCGGAGUUCCUGCAGCAGCCUGAGGUUGUCCAGAUGGCAGUUCUGAUCAACAAUAAAGCUUGUGGAAAAAUUCCUGUGCCCCAACAAGUUGCCCGGGAC
RNAcentral lists this small RNA (580 nucleotides) under Pan troglodytes (chimpanzee). RNAcentral describes it as "processed transcript". The record is from RNAcentral. Lineage: Eukaryota; Metazoa; Chordata; Mammalia; Primates; Hominidae.